RNAcentral lists this ribosomal RNA (459 nucleotides) under Triticum aestivum (bread wheat). RNAcentral describes it as "partial small subunit ribosomal RNA". Lineage: Eukaryota; Viridiplantae; Streptophyta; Magnoliopsida; Poales; Poaceae. The record is from RNAcentral.
AUGAGUGAGAACAUCUGCCCGAUCAUGUCGUGGAACGUCCACGGCCUAAACCAAUCGGCGAAACACGCUGCGAUCUGUGAGGUAGCUACAACGCAUAAAGUAGCAAUCUUGUGCUUACAGGAAACUAAGUUAGAUAUUUGGACACCCACCAUCGUCAGGGAAAUCGGUGGCACGGCUCUGACUGAAUGUGUCGUCCUCCCCGCGAUCGGCUCCCGCGGCGGAGCUGCUAUCUUCUGGAACAACGAGCUAGUCAGCAUUGCAUCACACGCUAUAGGGGAAUUCGCGAUUACUGCCAAAGUGACACUUCUCUGGCAAUUCAAAAGCUACUGGCUCACGACUGUUUACGGCCCAGUAGAUGACACUAGAAAAGCAGCCUUCCUCGACGAACUAGCUAGAACAGCUUCCUCACCAUCUGAUCCAUGGCUCAUUGAUGUCCACUACACAACCUUCUUCUUGUAG